CCUACGGGAGGCAGCAGUGGGGAAUUUUGGACAAUGGGCGCAAGCCUGAUCCAGCAAUGCCGCAUGCAGGAUGAAGGCCUUCGGGUUGUAAACUGCUUUUGUACGGAACGAAACGGUUCGCUUUAAUACAGUGAGCUAAUGACGGUACCGUAAGAAUAAGCACCGGCUAACUACGUGCCAGCAGCCGCGGUAAUACGUAGGGUGCGAGCGUUAAUCGGAAUUACUGGGCGUAAAGCGUGCGCAGGCGGUGAUGUAAGACAGAUGUGAAAUCCCCGGGCUCAACCUGGGACCUGCAUUUGUGACUGCAUCGCUAGAGUACGGUAGAGGGGGAUGGAAUUCCGCGUGUAGCAGUGAAAUGCGUAGAUAUGCGGAGGAACACCGAUGGCGAAGGCAAUCCCCUGGACCUGUACUGACGCUCAUGCACGAAGACGGUGGGGAGGACGAAACAAGGAGUAGUAUACCUACGGUAGUACCGACCGACCCGUAACCGAACUGUCAACUGGUUGGUUGGGUUCGUUCUACU
Molecule: ribosomal RNA, 523 nt
Filed under: uncultured bacterium
Lineage: Bacteria
Description: bacterial SSU rRNA
Rfam family: Bacterial small subunit ribosomal RNA
Source: RNAcentral